RNAcentral lists this ribosomal RNA (156 nucleotides) under Heteropogon contortus. Its description in RNAcentral is "5.8S ribosomal RNA". It matches the Rfam family "5.8S ribosomal RNA". Rfam says of the family: 5.8S ribosomal RNA (5.8S rRNA) is a component of the large subunit of the eukaryotic ribosome. It is transcribed by RNA polymerase I as part of the 45S precursor that also contains 18S and 28S rRNA. Functionally, it is thought that 5.8S rRNA may be involved in ribosome translocation. Lineage: Eukaryota; Viridiplantae; Streptophyta; Magnoliopsida; Poales; Poaceae. The record is from RNAcentral.
UCUCGGCAACGGAUAUCUCGGCUCUCGCAUCGAUGAAGAACGUAGCAAAAUGCGAUACCUGGUGUGAAUUGCAGAAUCCCGCGAACCAUCGAGUUUUUGAACGCAAGUUGCGCCCGAGGCCUUCUGGUCGAGGGCACGUCUGCCUGGGCGUCACGC